GGUCUUGUGGUCUAGUGGUAUGAUUCUCGCUUAGGGCUGUAACCCCGGGCAUUGCUUGCGAGAGGCCCCGCGUUCGAGUCGCGGCAAGACCC
Non-coding RNA from Phaeosphaeriaceae sp. SRC1lsM3a, 92 nucleotides. The record is from the annotation of a GenBank genome assembly. NCBI's taxonomy places the organism in Eukaryota, Fungi, Ascomycota, Dothideomycetes, Pleosporales, Phaeosphaeriaceae.